Molecule: transfer RNA, 70 nt
Filed under: Allonychiurus kimi
Lineage: Eukaryota; Metazoa; Arthropoda; Collembola; Poduromorpha; Onychiuridae
Description: tRNA-Trp
Source: RNAcentral
UUAAGUUUUAAGAUUAUUAAACUAAAAACCUUCAAAGUUUUAAUAAUAGGUAAACUCCUAUAAACUUAAU